This 415-nucleotide ribosomal RNA is filed under the name uncultured bacterium. RNAcentral describes it as "bacterial SSU rRNA". It matches the Rfam family "Bacterial small subunit ribosomal RNA", at positions 355 to 787 of the family's 1533-position model. The record is from RNAcentral.
UGGGGAAUAUUGGGCAAUGGGCGCAAGCCUGACCCAGCAACGCCGCGUGAAGGAAGAAGGCUUUCGGGUUGUAAACUUCUUUGACAGGGGAAGAUAAUGACGGUACCCUGAAAACAAGCUCCGGCUAACCACGUGCCAGCAGCCGCGGUGAUACGUAGGGAGCAAGCGUUAUCCGGAAUUACUGGGUGUAAAGGGCGCGUAGGCGGGUCUGCAAGUCAGAUGUGAAAUGCCGGGGCUUAACCUCGGAGCUGCAUUUGAAACUGUAGGUCUUGAGUGAUGGAGAGGCAGGCGGAAUUCCCGGUGUAGCGGUGGAAUGCGUAGAUAUCGGGAGGAACACCAGAGGCGAAGGCGGCCUGCUGGACAUUAACUGACGCUGAGGCGCGAAAGCGUGGGGAGCAAACAGGAUUAGAUACCC